AUGAAUAUAACGUUUAAAAACAACACGCUGUCGAAACUUAAAGAUAAAAAUGAAAAUGCACAUUAAUUAAUAACCAAGAUGGCAUAUGAAAAAAAAAGGAUUUUAAAUAAAAAAUCUUCGCUUGCCGAAAGCUAUUUCACACACAUCACUAUCUCGCUCUCACUUCAUAAUUGUCGCCAUCAUUUCUCUCUCUCUCUCUCUCUCUCUCUCUUGUUGUUGCCACCAUCAUUUUCACCUUCAUCGCCACCGCAAAUCUAUCAAUAUCCUCUUCCCUCCCUCCCUCCCUCUCUCUCUCUCUCUCUCUCUCCCUCUCUCUCUGUCUGUCUCCCCCCUCUCUCUCCCUCUCUCUCUGUCUGUCUCUCUUUCUCUGUUGCCACCAUCAUUUUCUCCUUCAUUGCCAUCGCAAAUCUAUCAAUAUCCUUUUCCCUUAGACUCGAAUAUCACCACUACAAUCUUGUCUCUUUCUCUCUCGUCUCUUACACAUCAGUUCUUACUUGAAAUUGUCAAAGACUAUCAAAAAGUUGAAGCUAAAUAGCAAUCUCGUUGUCGUCCAAUGAGCUCGAUCAAUAUUGAUAAGCUAGAAAACUCCCUCUGUUUGGUACAUACAGCUAUGGAAAAGACCGAGACAUCAACCAGUGCAGAAGCUCAUGAUAAGACUAAUUGCAGAUAGCACUACAAUUUUAAGCUUGAUGCUGGUUCCUGUGGAUUGUAAAUGCAGGUUCUUGGAUGAUUUUGAUGACCUAAGAGUGAAAGCGACUGUGAGGUUCCCCUAGGUUUCGAUCCCCUAAACCUUCAGAGGGUGUUAUACAGUUAGCCUACUUCUACGGGAUAGUAUAUGUGGUAUGGCCGUUGGAAAUGGACACUCCUAGAUUGAGAGUUACUAGGAGUGAAGGGCACCGCGCUCUGCCUUGGGUUUCGAUCCCUUAAAACUCUGGAACCCUACAUGGCUAGACAUGUACCAUAUCCCGUGGGGAGGGUACUUGGUUCUGGGGUGUAGGAUUAAAUGGACACUAUCAUUACCCUACUUUGUGCUCUUGUGGUCAAAUUGAAAGGAAUCGGCCGCAUGACCGGUCAUCAAGUUGGAUUAUGUUGGCACACGAAUUCUGGGAGUGAAUCGUGUUGACGGUUGUGUAUAACCAAUAGUGGUAAGUGAUUUUACCAAUGAUUGUGAUGUGAAAUUCCAAUGAUUUGGUUGGAAUUUCUUAUAUUUGAAUUGCCAAUUUAAAUGGUUUGGCUUGAAAUUGUGAUUAUUUGCGUAGCCACUUAUGAUUGUGGUUUGAAACUUUGAUAUUUAUUUAACCGAUGAUGGUUUGGCUGGAAUUUAUGAUA
This is a non-coding RNA of Malus domestica (apple), 1329 nucleotides long. The record is from RefSeq and is a predicted model, not a curated record. Lineage: Eukaryota; Viridiplantae; Streptophyta; Magnoliopsida; Rosales; Rosaceae.